UUGAACGCUGGCGGCAUGCUUUACACAUGCAAGUCGAACGGUAACAGGUCUUCGGAUGCUGACGAGUGGCGAACGGGUGAGUAAUGCAUCGGAACGUGCCCAGUCGUGGGGGAUAACGCAGCGAAAGCUGUGCUAAUACCGCAUACGAUCUAUGGAUGAAAGCGGGGGAUCGCAAGACCUCGCGCGAUUGGAGCGGCCGAUGUCAGAUUAGCUAGUUGGUGGGGUAAAGGCCCACCAAGGCGACGAUCUGUAGCUGGUCUGAGAGGACGACCAGCCACACUGGGACUGAGACACGGCCCAGACUCCUACGGGAGGCAGCAGUGGGGAAUUUUGGACAAUGGGCGCAAGCCUGAUCCAGCAAUGCCGCGUGCAGGAAGAAGGCCUUCGGGUUGUAAAGCUCUUUCAGCUGGAACGAAACGGUACGCUCUAACAUAGUGUGCUAAUGACGGUACCAGCAGAAGAAGCACCGGCUAACUACGU
RNAcentral lists this ribosomal RNA (480 nucleotides) under uncultured bacterium. RNAcentral's name for it is "bacterial SSU rRNA". It matches the Rfam family "Bacterial small subunit ribosomal RNA", at positions 30 to 506 of the family's 1533-position model. The record is from RNAcentral.